Molecule: transfer RNA, 73 nt
Filed under: Bacteroidaceae bacterium
Lineage: Bacteria; Pseudomonadati; Bacteroidota; Bacteroidia; Bacteroidales; Bacteroidaceae
Description: tRNA-Thr
Rfam family: tRNA
About the family: Transfer RNA (tRNA) molecules are approximately 80 nucleotides in length. Their secondary structure includes four short double-helical elements and three loops (D, anti-codon, and T loops). Further hydrogen bonds mediate the characteristic L-shaped molecular structure. tRNAs have two regions of fundamental functional importance: the anti-codon, which is responsible for specific mRNA codon recognition, and the 3' end, to which the tRNAs corresponding amino acid is attached (by aminoacyl-tRNA synthetases). tRNAs cope with the degeneracy of the genetic code in two manners: having more than one tRNA (with a specific anti-codon) for a particular amino acid; and 'wobble' base-pairing, i.e. permitting non-standard base-pairing at the 3rd anti-codon position.
Source: RNAcentral
GCCGAAUUGGCUCAGUCGGUAGAGCAACGCAUUCGUAAUGCGUGGGUCGGCGGUUCGAGUCCGCCAUUCGGCU